This is a long non-coding RNA of Magnolia sinica, 657 nucleotides long. RefSeq lists it as uncharacterized. The record is from RefSeq and is a predicted model, not a curated record. The transcript is spliced from 3 exons. NCBI's taxonomy places the organism in Eukaryota, Viridiplantae, Streptophyta, Magnoliopsida, Magnoliales, Magnoliaceae.
UCAAAGAGCAACAAGUUGGAAUAUCUGGCUGGCAUUCGACACCAUUAUAGCCAUCAGUUUUGUUCCAGGCACCCAAGCAAAGCUUUUGAAUAGCAUUUUUCUGUUAGGAAGCAACAACUGAAGUGCACCAUGUACAGGAGACCUUUGGAAUAACUGAAUUCAUUGAUUAGUUUUACUACUUCCUUCUGCCACCAAAUGUGGUCGGGUGGACCUUUUUUAUUUGAUGUUCAGGUUGAAGCAGUUCCAAGUUCUGUGUUUGAAGAGAACUUUAAUUGGCAUUUCAAGAUGUGCUUUCUCUGUACAACUGACUUCCCUCUUUUAAAUUUAAUUUGUACUCAUAUCUUUUUGGAAACCGAGGUUCAUGCAAUGUUUUUGUGAGGCAUCCUCGGGUAAUAAACUGGUUCUUGUAUUUUAGUGAAAACAGGAGCUGAAAGUUAGUAGUGGACGGUGGAGACUGAUGAUGGCCGGUCGCAUCGCUGCUUCUCGUACGUCUUUUGAUCCUUUGAGUGAUCUUUCAACUAUGUAAAUCUCUUAACUUGCUUGUUGUUGUUGGUUUUUUUUUUUUGGUCGCUGUUCUAUCCGACAGGGAUUGUUGUAAAAUGGGUUGUUGACAGAUUCACUUGGUAAAUGUUAUUUUGAGUGUUUGAUUCAGAUGAA